RNAcentral lists this ribosomal RNA (253 nucleotides) under uncultured bacterium. RNAcentral describes it as "partial 16S ribosomal RNA". It matches the Rfam family "Bacterial small subunit ribosomal RNA", at positions 524 to 776 of the family's 1533-position model. The record is from RNAcentral.
UACGGAGGGGGCUAGCGUUGUUCGGAAUUACUGGGCGUAAAGGGCGCGUAGGCGGCACGGCAAGUCAGGAGUGAAAGCCCGGGGCUCAACCCCGGAAUGUCUUUUGAAACUGCCGAGCUAGAGUGCGGAAGAGGCAACUGGAAUUCCCAGUGUAGCGGUGAAAUGCGUAGAUAUUGGGAAGAACACCUGAGGCGAAGGCGGGUUGCUGGGCCGACACUGACGCUGAUGCGCGAAAGCCAGGGGAGCGAACGGG